AGAGUUUCCAUGCUGGGAUGAGGAUGAGUGUCAGGAAGAAAACGGCGCUGGGGUGUUGUUUUCUAUGUCGAAGGAGAGUUUGAUCGCUGCUCCUGCGAGUGCUUUGGUUGCAAUGAGGAGUGUUGAUGAUAAAGGAACCACAAAAGACCUGGACUCUGGGGAAGCUGAGAUGAAACAUUCUCAGAGUGCUGUGGACAAGGAUAAGAGGUUGCUUCGUCCCUUGAUAACGAGUAAGCGAAGAAAAGAACUGUUUGGAGCUUCUAAAGAGCGGAUGAAGAAGAAGGUCGAAGUUGCUGACAAAGAAGAGGAUGAUGAUAAGAAAGGUCAGUGAAACAACCACUUCUCUUUUUAAGCAAACUUUAGUUAGCCAUUAUUCAUUGUUCUUAAAUAAAGAAAUAUCGUCUUUCUUUCAGCAGUUCGACCAGCAAGUGGUUUUAAACCAUCAGAAACAGAAGGUUUAAGUAGAGACUGUGGGAUCGCAAAGAAUGAUAAGUCAAAGAAAGCUGCGUUUGAAGAAUCUAUUGAUGGUGGGCUUGGCGAGGGUGAAUCUGGUAAUUCAGAAAUUGGUGUUGAAUGCUCCAAAGAACAGAAUCUUUCUGACGUUCAUGCUAAUGGUGCUGGAAAACAGGAAGAGAAAGCUGGCCAUCAUUUCCGAAUUGUGCUUAAGAGCUCGGCUACUGAAGAUCCUUCCGUCCCAGCAAGAAAAGAUGUUACACACAAUGAAGCUGAUAAGGCAGAGGAGGUACGUGUUAGACUUGCAUAUAUGAGACUUACCUUUGAAUUGUCUUUGAUUAUAGCAACAAAUGCUGAAGUUUUCAGUUGAUUAUUAUCUAGGUGGUUUAAUUCAAAGCAAUUUGAUCUCUUAUAUAUAUACAUGCUCUCCUGUAAGUGCGUUGAUGUCUUGUAGACUGUAACAACUGUUUGAAUUAAGCAAGGCCGAAUUUAAUAUCUUAUUGAAGAUUAAAGAUAACAAUGGGGAAGCAACUGAUAACAAAUACUAUUUGCUUAUUUUCGCAGAGGCAAGGUACAAUAGAUGAUACUCCAGGAGAUAAUGCAGUUGAUUCGCCUGAAAGUUCCCAGAAGCCUUCUACACGAGAAGCUGAAGAGAAAAAUUGUGAUGCUGUCAGUGGUAAAAUCAGUUCAAGGAAGAACCAAGUCCAAAAAGAAAUUGGGGAGACUGGUGCUGGUGGAGCUGUAGGGCAGCAGACUCUGGAGUAUAACAAAACGACACAGAGCAGUUCACUUCCUCCUCCUGAUGAGCAGAAACCGCACCCUGUUGAUAUGAUAUCAGAAAGAACUACUGACUUAAAACGAGAGGUGUUGGUUUCGGAAGCAGAGAAAAAUAGUCUGGAAACAAAGCCCGGAUCUGGUGCACUUGAAGAGCCAUCAAAGCCAUGCAGACCUGUUCCGCACACGUUUUCAGUAUAUAGCAGGCCUAAGAUGGUAGUCAGCAUUGGGAAAUCAUCGUCUAGUUCAGCCACGGAAAAGUCACCUAAGCCCUCCUCUACUUCCAGGAACUCUAUACCUCCCUCCAAGCAACAACCAAGUGACGGUGAUGAAAACGCUAAUACUAAUGAUGAGGACUGUGUUUCCAGUGAUGCGAUCCGAGAGAGAGAUGGGGAUGAUGAGAAAUCUCUGAAAGAACAUACUAAAUCGAUGCAGCAGAGCCGCGCUUCUCAUUCUUCAGUUUCCAAGACAAGAGACUCUUCCUCUUCCCUAAAGGCAUCUCCAGCAGCUCGGCUUAAUGGUGGCUCUUCUGAGGCUUCUGGUAAACAUUCGCUCUCAGGGACCUUCCAGAAAAAUGACCCUAUGCAGUCUAUAACCGAUGAAGAGGUACGUGAGAGAUGUUGUUAUCCAUUCGCUUUUUUUUUCUAUCUUUCAUCUUCCCUCGGUUUUGACAUUUGUUUCAUUAAUGACCAGCUUGCGUUAAGACUGCACCAUCAACUCAACAGUUCUCCACGAGUUCCUCGUGUCCCACGCAUGAGACAGCCCGGUAGCUUACCCCUGUCUCCCACCGCUACUAGUUUUAAGCGCACCUGUAGUUCCGGUAGCAAGGAUCACACAGCGGUAUGAUUAUCUUUUCAAGUCGAUGAUCUCUCUAGGCUCGAGCAUGUUAGCUGACUAUGCAUCUGUUUCUCUAGUUUUCCAGAAGGAAAAACAAGGACGCGUCCAAAGAAGGGUUACGAAAAUCUCGUGACGAUGAUAGAUGUAGUACAAGGAGUACCAAAUCGCGUCGCCCUCCUGAUUGGAGAACAACACAUCAAGACAGUGGAAGCAGAGGAGGGGAAGAAAAGGAAAACCGAAAAACAUCCUACUCUUCCCGGAGGGUACUUGUCCAGCCAAACUCGACUACAAGCUCAAGCAGCGGAGCGUCUUCAUCCAACGAGCAUAAUAAGCCUUCUCCACACAGUUCCCCGAGGAAUAAUGGUACUCCUGUUCAUCAAACACUGCCUGGCUUAAUCAAUGAGAUUAUGAGUAAAGGCAAGAGGAUGACAUAUGAGGAGCUCUGUAACGCUGUCUUGCCGGUAUACUACUGCCUUCUGAUCUCAGACAUUAUCUAUUUAUCAGUGCUGGUCGCUGUUCUAAUCUGUUGUUGUUUCUUUUCUUGCAGCACUGGCCUCACUUGAGAAAACACAAUGGAGAGCGAUAUGCAUAUUCAAGCCAUUCACAAGCUGUUCUUGAUUGCCUGAGGAACAGGCAUGAAUGGGCUCGUCUGGUUGAUCGUGGCCCCAAGGUAUUUGGCUUAAGCUCACACUCUUUUUACUGUCGUCUUCAGCAUGUAAUAAUCUUCUUUUGUGUUUGUUGUUUCAGACUAACUCAGGGAAAAAGAAACGGAAGCUUGAUGCAGCAGAGGACGAGGAGUCAGAUGAGAACGAAAGCAGCAAGGGAGGAAAGAAGCAGCUGCAUCACUCUCAAGGAGAAGAGUUUCCUAAAGGGAAAAGGAAAGCAAGAAAACGAAGAAGGCUCUCUCUUCAAGGCAAGGGCAUAAAAGCGUUACUAAAGAAGCGAAAUGAACAAGUGAGCGAAGAAGACGAGGAAGGUGCGUCGUCAUCGGAUACAAGUGAAGAGAGUGUAUUCUGCGAAGAAGUAGAAGAGGCCCCCACUGCUAGUGCUAGACAAGUCUCUGCUAGUAGCUCCGAGGAAGCUGAAUCCACUUCAUGACUCCUCUCUCUAUGUAACAUAGAAGUAUAUAUCUAUGCAUUAUGUAGUUUUGUGUAUUUACCAAAAACUUGUCUUGUGUGGAUCAGAGGUUUGUAGAGAACUCACAGCAUCUCUCUUUUCUCGACCGACGAAACAAUAAACAUAUGCUUUUUAGAGAAUGAAGGUGAUUUUCUGGCUGUAGAUUUGCUUCCUCGUUUGGUAUAAUAUAAUCUUACGACUGAUAGAUUAAUAAAAAAAUUGGUCUCAAAUUAAAAUUUGAUUCAACUAAUAUUUUUAAUAAUAAGUGUUUUGCCUACACAUGUAAACAUACACAUUUUAUAAUCACUUUUUAAUACAAGCAUUAUUAAUGUAAAGACUAUAACGAUAAAUUAUUAUUUAUGUUUAUAUUUAAAAAUUCUUACGUAUUAUAAUUUUUGAAUUUGUUUUGUACAUUAUAUUCAUUUUUAAUAAAUAAAUCUUAGAAAUCACACAAUAUUGUCUUUUCAACUAAUCAUUUUGAAUAAUUAAUAGUACAUAUGUAUUUUCUGGUUUUUUUUUAAUUUUUAACCUUUUUAUUAAAAUAUACUUUUCAGAUAACAACACAAUAUACAUAAGAAUUAUAUUUUAUUUAAAAAUAUACUUUUCGGUUUUGGAUAAUUCGAAUGAUUAUUAUUAAUUUUAAUCACUUAUCUAAUAAAAUAUUUUAAAUUCAUUUUUAUUUUGUGGCUAAUUUACGGAUUUUAUUCAUUAAUGAUAUAAACGAAGAAAGACCGAUGCACUAAGCAAAAGGAAAGCCAGGCUUGAUUGGCUAAGGGGCAUAGGUUUGGAAAAAGUGGUCUUCGAACAAAGGGAGUAUAGGAAGAAUCUCAGGAAGAGGUUCCUAGUCUAGUUCCGUGCUGUUCUCAUUAAAAAGAAGAAUCACAUGAAGAGGUUUCCUGUUUGCAUCACCUUUUCUCUGGUAUUUUUGAAACAUGUGGAGAGCUUGUUCAAAGAACUCGAUUCAACACGCUACUCUAGACCUGGUUCUUCGUCACAAGGUUCCAAACAAGAGGGUAUGCAGUUAAGUUCCGUCAAAAUCUUUUAAGGGUAGCACUAGCCUUAUAGACGAGUGACCGCUGAACAAUAAGAACAAAGCCACUUUGUCCCUCUAACGUCGAAUGAUCUACUCGCUUGUACUUCUCUUUGUCAAAAUUCAUUUAGAUUAACCAUUCUAACUUUUAACGUGAGAGCUCCGAAAAAUCACCUCGCAAAUAAUAGUAUAGAUUUAUUAAUAUUAGAGCUGGGAUUUAUUAGUCAGGAUCUGAUCCAAGAUCCACUCCGGAUUCGUUCCAAACUUAAAAUAUCAAAAGUUAACAAAAAAAAGUUUAGGAUAUCAAAAGUUUCCGGAUCCAGAUAAUAAACUCUCAUAUCCGUCAAAAUCAAAUCUGGAUUUCAGAUAUUAAAUUCAAAGACAAUUAUUAAAAGUGGAAAAUGACUAAUUAGCUUAGGUAACAUGAAUGAAGAAUUACAUGUUGCAAAAGAGAUGAAAAAAAAACGAAAAACAUAUAUUUAUUUAAAGAUAAAAUUGUAUUAACAGUGGAUUUUCUAUGCUUGGCAUGAAUUUCAAACAUUCAUUUUCCGUGGUUGACAUUGCAACAACAAAUUGUUGUCUCGGUUUCCAACCAAAAGGUCUUCUGCAAGGGGAAUAACGUAUCAUGUAAUUGAGUCUCAGUUGUCUAGAUCUCUACCACAAUCUAAAUCCAUGAGUUCAACAACUUAAUCACACUUUAAACCUGCACACACAAGUCCUUAGUCACUUGGACUUCUUAAGUAUCUGAGUAUCCACUUGAUGGCAUCUCAAUGACUUCUUAAGUAUCUGAGUAUCCAUUUGAUAGCAUCUCAAUGACUUCUACCAGGAUCAACAUAUAGUUUGAUAUCGAAGAGACCGAGGUUGCUCAGUUGUUGGUUGAGCUGCCUACCAAGACCUUGAGAAUGGAGAGCUCGUGUACUCGGAAUGUGCCUGUUAAGCGUCCUUUUAGGUUAUGGACUGAGAUCCCGACGGAAGAGAAGGUUCAUGUGCAAGGGAUCCCGGGUGGUGAUCCGGCCUUCUUUGGAGGUUUGUCGUCGGUUUUCUCACGGGAGCUGUGGAAGUGUACUGGUUAUGUGCCUAAGAAGUUUAACUUCAAGUAUAGAGAGUUUCCAUGCUGGGAUGAGGAUGAGUGUCAGGAAGAAAACGGCGCUGGGGUGUUGUUUUCUAUGUCGAAGGAGAGUUUGAUCGCUGCUCCUGCGAGUGCUUUGGUUGCAAUGAGGAGUGUUGAUGAUAAAGGAACCACAAAAGACCUGGACUCUGGGGAAGCUGAGAUGAAACAUUCUCAGAGUGCUGUGGACAAGGAUAAGAGGUUGCUUCGUCCCUUGAUAACGAGUAAGCGAAGAAAAGAACUGUUUGGAGCUUCUAAAGAGCGGAUGAAGAAGAAGGUCGAAGUUGCUG
RNAcentral lists this long non-coding RNA (5608 nucleotides) under Brassica napus (rape). RNAcentral's name for it is "long non-coding RNA (BNAP_LNC006775)". Lineage: Eukaryota; Viridiplantae; Streptophyta; Magnoliopsida; Brassicales; Brassicaceae. The record is from RNAcentral.